UAUCUUUAUACUUUAAACNCUGAUUUUAUUUCUAUGUUUUUUAAAUAUUCGGUGUUUUUGAAUGUGUUGUUUAAAUMACAUAAAAAAUAAAAUAYAUAUUGCACAUGUAUUAAACAAAGAUCUGUAUUAUUUNNUGUUGUAUAAAUAAAUUGGCAAAAUAGAGAUGGAAGAUAAAAAUAAAAACCCUGGCAAUAACCUACUCA
Molecule: unclassified non-coding RNA, 203 nt
Filed under: Borreliella burgdorferi (Lyme disease spirochete)
Lineage: Bacteria; Pseudomonadati; Spirochaetota; Spirochaetia; Spirochaetales; Borreliaceae
Description: partial miscellaneous RNA
Source: RNAcentral